UGCGGUACAGCUCAAGGGUAGAGCGCAUGUUUAGCACGCAUGUGGUCCUGGGUUCAAUGCCCAGUACCUCCA
RNAcentral lists this transfer RNA (72 nucleotides) under Camelus bactrianus (Bactrian camel). It matches the Rfam family "tRNA". From Rfam's summary of the family: Transfer RNA (tRNA) molecules are approximately 80 nucleotides in length. Their secondary structure includes four short double-helical elements and three loops (D, anti-codon, and T loops). RNAcentral also lists the same sequence under 2 other names. Lineage: Eukaryota; Metazoa; Chordata; Mammalia; Artiodactyla; Camelidae. The record is from Rfam by way of RNAcentral.